UCCCAUAUCAGAGGGAUUCCUAUCAGUGUGAAUUUUAACAAGAUUAACUUCACCUUGAGACAGUUUCUCACGUAUAAAAUGAUACUUUACCUCAAUAUGUUUAGUUCUUUCAUGGUAAACAGGAUUUUUACAAAGCAAUAAAGCACUUUGACUAUCAGUAAACAUAACAGGUGUAUCAUGCAUGAAGUUCAAUUCCUUUAAAAUUCCUUUUAACCAAGUACAUUCUUUAGCCGCCUCAGUUAUGGCAACAUAUUCUGCCUCAGUACUUGACAAAGUAACUAAAGGCUGCAGCUGUGACUUCCAUGUUAUACAAUUGUCACCUAGUGUAAAAAAGUACGCUGUGGUAGACUUUCUGCUAUCCUUGUCACCAGCAAAAUCAGAGUCUACAUACCCCUUUAGAGUAAGUUUUUCAGAUCUCUUUUCAUACACUAGACCCAGAUUUAAUGUACCAACAAUGUACCUUAACAACCAUUUCAAACCUGCCCAAUGAGGCUUCCUGGGUUUGACAUAAAUCUGCUCAAAAAACUUAUAGCAUAGGCUAAGUCAGGCCUGGUUGUUAUCAUAGAGAACAUGAUGGAACCUAUAGCAUUAGCGUAGGGUAUGUUUCUCAUUUUUCUAAAUUCCUCCUCAGUCUUAGGAGAUUGUGCACCAGAAAGAUUCAUAUGAGCUGCUAAGGGAACGUUCACAGAUUUUGAUCCAUUCAUACCAAAUUUGGUUGUGACUUUGUUUAGAUAGGCUUCUUGGGAAAUGACUAGUCUAUUUUCAGCCCUAUCUCUCUUUAUAACCAUCUCCAAAAUCUUCUUAGCACUCCCCAAAUCUUUCAUAUCAAAUUCUGAUUUUAAAAGGUUCUUCAUCUUAGUGAUUUCAGUCUUACUUGAACUUGCUAGGAGCAUGUCAUCUACAUACAGCAACAAGUAGACCUCACAGCCCUCCUUACUAUCAUUAUAGUACAGGCAUGCAUCAUAUUCACUCCUUUUAAAACCUAUCUUCAGAACAUAGGUAUCGAACCUUAUGUACCACUGUCUAGGGCUCUGUUUAAGCCCAUACAGAGAUCUUUCUGAUUUGCACACACAGCUAGUUUUACCUUUCACCUCAAAACCUUGAGGCUGACUCAUGUAAAUAUCCUCUUCCAAUUCCCCAUAUAGGAAAGCAGUCUUGACAUCUAGUUGUUCCAGUUCCCAGUUGUACUGAACAACCAAUGCAAGAACCAAUCUGAUUGUUUUGUACUUUAUCACAGGAGAGAAUAUCUCAUUGUAAUCAACCCCCUCCUUUUGAGUGAACCCUUUCGCCACUAAUCUGGCCUUAUACCUAGGAGGAUCACUAGGAUUAUUUCCUUCUUUCAAUUUGUAAAUCCACUUACAUUGAACUAUCCUAUGAUCCUUAGGUUUGUUAACUAACUUCCAAGUUUUAUUCUCCAUUAGANAUAAAGUCCUUGAAGAGAAUAUGCUGCACUCCAUGAAAAGUAGAGGCCGCAGCAUAUGCAUACCAUUGUUUGGUCAAUAAAAAGAGAAGGUUAGAGAAGCUUUUUACUUGUUGAUGCAAGUUUUGACACAUAAGAAAUAGAACACUUUCAGAUCUUCUCACAUUUCUAGCAUCCAUCCAAAAGUAUUCUGUCUUUGGGUCAUUUUUCAUUUUCAGAGAAACAUUCAUCCAGAUAGGUGCAAUUUUCUCCAGGAAGCCCUGAAUAAGUCAAUUGAAAAAUGGUGUAAACUUUCUUAAGAGAUAACGAAUCAAUAAAUCAGACAUGUAAAGAUGAUAUAAAAUCUUUAUCUCAAAAUAAAUCGUGCACGUUCUUAGUAAAUGCAAAAGCAUGACUAGAUUUACCUUUUUUAUUAUGAUUUGAGAAUUGCCAAUUGGAUUGAUAUUUGUAACAUGACCCUUCUCCUCAAGAAGAUAAUUAUGAUUUUUUUUCCUGUUCAACGAUUUGAUGUAGAAGAAGAAAGUAGCAGAAUAUCCUCCACGAGCCAAAUUAGCAAGCAAAUUUAUGAAUAUAUUUCUGGGUUCUCCAAUAAUUAUUCCCUCCCACCUUCAAAAUAUCCAUGGAAGUAAAAAACAAAAAUAGAACAUGAAAUCUGCAAAAAUCUUUAGAUGGGAUGGGAAUACUUACCUAAGAGUGAUAAUGGAUAUGCGAUUGGGGCCACAAAAUGGGCCAUGAUAUCGAUGAUAAUGAUGAUUGAAAUUUGAGGUUCCUUUACUCUGAAUGUUCGAAAAGAGAGACGGAGAGUGAGGAUGAGCCAAUGAGGAAGGCGGCACGCUUUAGAAGAGAGGAAGUCACGAAUUUGAGGUUGGGGUUCUGGAAUAUGACUAAGGCUUGUUCAACAGUGAUUUUAAGAAUUGAUUUUUUGAUCGUUAGAGAGAAAUAUAAUUUCUAUUCGUGAGAGAAAAAGUCAAAAAUAAAAGUUGUAAUAGUAAAAUAAUGGUUAAAAAUUGAUUUUUUGGGGAGAAAAAACACUACGAAUCAAGCACUAACUUUUGAACUAAAAAACCUCGUGGGCAAGUGAAAAGUGUUGGGAAAAUGAAAAAUUUGAAUACCAAAAGGAAUUUUUUAGAGCCAAAUGAAAUAUUUGUAAAAAUUAGUCACAGAUAGUUUCUGUAGGAAAAUCGACAGAUAUAGAUUUUUUUUUCAAAAUUUUCAAACAGAAUUUUUUCCAUAGGUAACUAUUUAAUUAUUUUUUAAUUUCUUCAUAAGUUCACCAACAAUUUUUUUUUUUUUUCCGUUGGUAAUUAUUUUACUCUUUUAUCUAGUUUUUAACGAAAUAAUUCAUUUUAAAAUCUGUUAAAACCUACGAAUUAGAAAUGGAAUUGUAGUAAUAAGUCUUACGUUUGGUAAUUCUGAUGGUGAUUUAAUAUAUAUUUUGUAAACAUAGUAAAAUAAUAAUCUGUUGUUGAUUGGUUGUACAUCCGUCGUUAAUAGCAACACCGGUCAUCCGUUGCUAAAAUUCUGUCUCCAUUGCCUCUCUUUCUAAUAGUGAUAAUGUCCAACCGUAGCCCCCCAAGGCACAUCCGAGUUGGUGGAACAAUCACUUCGUUGGGACGCUGGAAGCAAGGGUGGAGAGUUCGACUCCUGGAGUUAACACUGGGAGCCAUAUGGAGAGGAAGCCAUUGGUGUGAACAAACGCCCAGUGAGGAGAGCUCUUUUUGUGGAAGGAGUCCAAAUGAGUUGUGGGAAUCUGGAAGCCAACAAGGGCACAUCCUGCGAUUUACCUCCCUGAGCUGCUGAGGGGCCGGAGGUUCAGGGACAAGGAUCUAGUCGGACGCAAGCCCGGACACCUUGUAAAAAAAAAAAAUAAUAAUAAGGAUAAUGUCCAACGGUAAAUCAAGGUCAACAGAAACUAUAAGAAUUUAAUAUUUUUUGCUUAAAUUAUAUAGUUUUCUCUAAUAAAGGCUCUCUGCAAAUCAUAGUCCCUACGACCUAAACAACUUUACGGUUAAUUGCAUAUACCCUCCUAAGUUAUAAUCUUUUCUUAGAAACAUCGAGAAUACAAGUAUAUUAUAUACAAUAGGAUGAAGAAAUAUAUGAUCCAAAAAUCCUACUCCUCCUUUACAUUUUAACCACAUUUUAUUGGGCGUUGCAAAUUAACAUAUUCCAUAUGAAAACUCUCUCUAAUUUAUGUCUGUUGGGGAUCCUAGGAGUUCAAACAAACCAAAACAACAAUCAACAAACAAGAUUCAAGGCAAAAACAAGAAAAAUAAACCGGAAGAAUACUCCCCUUCUUUGGCCGAAAAUCUGUCCAGCUUUUCUGCUUCGUUUCAGCAGCUCCUUCUUCGAUUUAUGGGUGUUUUUCCAGGCUCAGGAACAGCCCCAUGUUAUGCCAAUUGCCUUCCAAAGAGAGAGGGGAAAAAAACCAAUGAAGAACCACCACCCUUCUAUGAAAAACGAGAGCUCCUACUGCUGGGAAUUCAAGAGACUGAGAGCUGCCCCCUUUUUUUUAUAUAAAAUGGUAGAGUGUACAUAAUGAAGGGGUAGGAAGAAAGACCAUGCCUCUGCCAAAAGAAGGGAAGACCUUAUUGUGUCAACCUCACUCCCAUCAAGUCACAACAUUAGGUGGUGGGGUUAGGUGAACCAUAUCCUCACAUUCUUCACCUUGGUUCUCCUAACACUCUCUCUUGGUUGCGAAUUUGCACAUGGAAGAACUGUUCAUCAUCAUCGCCCACCACCUGCAAGAAAAAUUAACCAGUGUCAAUGUGUAAUAAAGAUAAGCACAAUCUAAAUUUACUUGCAGGUAGAAUUUUUGUUCCCAUGUCAGAGGGAUUCCUAUCAGUGUGAAUUUUAACAAGAUUAACUUCACCUUGAGACAGUUUCUCACGUAUAAAAUGAUACUUUACCUCAAUAUGUUUAGUUCUUUCAUGGUAAACAGGAUUUUUACAAAGCAAUAAAGCACUUUGACUAUCAGUAAACAUAACAGGUGUAUCAUGCAUGAAGUUCAAUUCUUUUAAAAUUCCUUUUAACCAAGUACAUUCUUUAGCCGCCUCAGUUAUGGCAACAUAUUCUGCCUCAGUACUUGACAAAGUAACUAAAGGCUGCAGCUGUGACUUCCAUGUUAUACAAUUGUCACCAAGUGUAAAAAAGUACGCUGUGGUAGACUUUCUGCUAUCCUUGUCACCAGCAAAAUCAGAGUCUACAUACCCCUUUAGAGUAAGUUUUUCAGAUCUCUUUUCAUACACUAGACCCAGAUUUAAUGUACCAACAAUGUACCUUAACAACCAUUUCAAACCUGCCCAAUGAGGCUUUCCUGGGUUUGA
RNAcentral lists this long non-coding RNA (4743 nucleotides) under Olea europaea subsp. europaea. The record is from RNAcentral. Lineage: Eukaryota; Viridiplantae; Streptophyta; Magnoliopsida; Lamiales; Oleaceae.